UGCCAGUGGAUCACAUUGUGCUGCUGGAGCAGGAGCAGAGGGGAAAAGAGAGACGCUUCCUGUUUCUCCUUCUUUAAAUAUGAGUCUCCUUGCUAUGUCACUUCCUGCCUGGAUCACCACUUCUCAACUACAUUUCCCAAAAUCCUCUUUGACUCCUAGUCCUGCCUAACUUGCUGCCAUUGACCAAACAGUAUUUUAUUCAACAAUCAAUAAGAUAAACAUACACAGAAGUACAUUCCCCAUUAGACUCCUGUGUCUAACCUGUGGUAGAAAGAAAGCAGCUGACACAAGCUUGCUGUUAUGCCCCAAAUUCAGCAACUGCAGGGAUUAAAUGCUAUUCUUGAUGGACCCUAUAAUUCAGAUCCCUUAAAUAUCCAUGUGGUAAAUGCCUGGACUCCAGAGUUGUUCUACUGGAUAUGUAUAGAACCAUUAUUAGGGCCUAUUAAGGUAUUUUCAUGUCACUGGGGGCACACCUUAGCAGGAGAUGGUGAGACUCCAGCCCUUUCCUCUGCCUCUCUUUGGCUUCUUGGCCAUGAAUAGAGUUGUUUUUGCUUGUCUCCUGUGAUUGGACCAUGGUGUGACACAAGUCCAAAAGCAAAAGAGUCCAACUGAUAUGGCCUGAUAGCUCUAAAACUGUGAGCCAAAAUAAAACUUCAUUCUUUGUAAGUUGAUUAUCUAUAUAUUUGUUUUAGUGACAGAAAGCUGACUAACACAGGUGAGGUGAGUCAGAAGCUUAAAGAAUAAGGGAUUUAGAAUAAUCUCAGAGAAGAAUCAAAGUCCAUGUGUCCAGUAGAGCCGGAUGACAACUGGGAUAUGGCAAGACCAGGUACACAAAGCUGAGCCCACCACUCAGGUUCCAUGAACUGAGUAAGUGUAGGAACUAUGAGAUCACCCUAUUAAAUUGGAAUGUUUCAGGAACUGUCAGUCAACAUAAUUUUCCAUGGUGAAUUAGCUCAAACUCAUUUGGUUUUGCUUGCAUGUUUAGGAAUUACCUGAUGUAGGCUAGAUUUGGCCAGCUAGUUCUGCUUCAAGCUGUUGGUUUACCUGUGCAUGGCUCCUCAUUAAGAGCGGAGCUCAGACGUGCUCCCUAUGUAUGUAUUCCAUGGCUCAAGCUGACUGGGCAGUAGCUAGCUAUGGGGACAUCUUCUGACAGUGUGUCAGGGGUCCAGGAGGGCCAGCCCAACAGCAUCAGUGUGCUUUAAGUUGUUUUUUUUUUUUGAUGUAUCUUCUGAUGCCUUAUGACCAAAAAAAAAAAAAAAAAAAAAAUCAGGAGGCUGAGUCCACAGAAAGCAAGAAGUACUUUCUGUCCCUAACAAGAGGAACUGCAUGUCACGUGGCAAGGUGUGUGGAUGCAGAUAGGAGUGAAGAACUGGUACAGUCAUUCAGUAUACUAUACUAUCUGAGUGUAAUUCUCAUCCAUUUUAUGUGUCAGAUAGGUGAAUGUCUUAGGGUUUCUAUUGCUGUGAAGAGACACCAUGACGAUGGCAACUUUUAUAAAUGAAGAGCAUUUAAUUUGGGUGGCUUACAUUUUCAGAGGUUUAGUCCAUUAUCAUGGUACAACAUGUUGGCAUGCAGGCAGACAUGGUGCUGGAUAAGUAGCUGAGAGUCCUUACAUCUCGACUUACA
Molecule: long non-coding RNA, 1626 nt
Filed under: Cricetulus griseus (Chinese hamster)
Lineage: Eukaryota; Metazoa; Chordata; Mammalia; Rodentia; Cricetidae
Description: lncRNA (ENSCGRG00015040290.1)
Source: RNAcentral